AGCAGCCGCGGUAAUUCCAGCUCCAAUAGCGUAUAUUAAAGUUGUUGCAGUUAAAAAGCUCGUAGUUGAAUUUCGGGGUUAGCAGGUCGGUCGUGCCAUCGGUAUGAACUGGUCUCGCUGAUCCCUCCCUCUUGACGAACUGUGAUGCCAUUAAUUUGGUGUCGCAGGGAAUCAGGACUGUUACUUUAGAAAAAUUAGAGUGUUUAAAGCAGGCUCACGCUUGAAUACAUUAGCAUGGAAUAAUGAAAUAGGACGUUUGAAUCCUAUUUUGUUGGCUUCUAGGAUUGACGUAAUGAUUAAUAGGGAUAGUUGGGGGCAUUAGUAUUCAAUUGUCAGAGGUGAAAUUCUUGGAUUUAUUGAAGACUAACUACUGCGAAAGCAUUUGCCAAGGAUGUUUUCAUUAAUCAAGAACGAAAGUUAGGGGAUCGAAGACGAUCAGAUACCGUCGUA
Molecule: ribosomal RNA, 450 nt
Filed under: uncultured Glomus
Lineage: Eukaryota; Fungi; Glomeromycota; Glomeromycetes; Glomerales; Glomeraceae
Description: SSU rRNA
Rfam family: Eukaryotic small subunit ribosomal RNA
Source: RNAcentral